GGCUUUAUAGUCAAUGUAUGAUAUUAGAUUGCAAUUCUAAAGUAGUAAUUUUACUAAAGCUU
This 62-nucleotide transfer RNA is filed under the name Phallospinophylus setosus. RNAcentral's name for it is "tRNA-Cys". The record is from RNAcentral. Lineage: Eukaryota; Metazoa; Arthropoda; Insecta; Hemiptera; Miridae. RNAcentral also lists the same sequence under 1 other name.